GCGGUAAUACUAAAGGUGCAAGCGUUAAUCGGAAUUACUGGGCGUAAAGCGCGCGUAGGUGGUUUGUUAAGUUGGAUGUGAAAGCCCAGGGCUCAACCUUGGAACUGCAUUCAAAACUGACUCACUAGAGUACGAGAGAGGUUAGUGGAAUUUCCUGUGUAGCGGUGAAAUGCGUAGAGAUGGGAAGGAACACCAGUGGCGAAGGCGACUGACUGGCUCGAUACUGACACUGAGGUGCGAAAGCGUGGGGAGCAAACGGGAUUAGAUACCCCGGUAGUCCACGCCGUAAACGAUGUCUACUAGCCGUUGGAGGACUUGAUCCUUUAGUGGCGCAGCUAACGCGAUAAGUAGACCGCCUGGGGAGUACGGUCGCAAGAUUAAAACUCAAAGGAUUGACGG
Molecule: ribosomal RNA, 399 nt
Filed under: uncultured bacterium
Lineage: Bacteria
Description: bacterial SSU rRNA
Rfam family: Bacterial small subunit ribosomal RNA
Source: RNAcentral